Molecule: non-coding RNA, 1189 nt
Organism: Peromyscus maniculatus bairdii (prairie deer mouse)
Lineage: Eukaryota; Metazoa; Chordata; Mammalia; Rodentia; Cricetidae
Source: RefSeq, a predicted model, not a curated record
UAAACCCAUUUCCACGUGGAUGCAGCGUCUGGGGUAUGGGUGGCUGUUCAUGUGCCGCAGCCCACCGCCACAUCUGCCCAGCAUGUUUCCAUCACCCACGGGACACCUUGGCCCGGCCAGCCAGGGCCUCCCGUGCCCCCUAUCAUUACAUUGGCGCCAGUGACAUCGGCAGGCUCUCCCACCGCUUUCUCCUGCCUGCUGGCAGUCUGAGAAACACUGGGACGCUGUACCGCCCACCACUGGGACCCCUGGGAUCAGUAAGAUUCCCCCCUUCCCUCUGGCCAUUUCCCACAAACGAGGAUGCUCUCGUCUGUCGACCAUGGUCUCCUGAAGUUCCGGUACCAGCACCAUGUGUCUUGGGCUUUAAGCCCUCCGGCGCCUGUUCCUAUGAGACUGCAUAUGGAGACGGCCUGCAGCCACUCAUUCCACGGCUCUUAGCGUUUGGCCAGAAGAGGGAGCCAGAUCUCAUUACAGAUGGUUGAGAGCCACCAUGUGGGUAUUGGGAAUUGAACUCAGGACCUCUGGAAGAACAGCCAGUGCUCUUAACCUUUGAGCCAUCUCUCCAGCCUUAUAUCAAACUUUUAUGUUCUUUUAUAAAAUAAGAAUUCAUAUUAACCUCAGAAGAUCAAAAGAAGCUAUUGAAUCCACUUUACAAAGGUCAAAAGAACCCCCGAUAAUUUAUAUUUCAGUAGGCUGGCAGACACACUGAAGCAGCCGCCAGGUUUCCCAGCUACAGAUGCCAGCAGAGACUCUUGUCUAUGUGAUGUGGACCAGUUCAGCCGAAUGUAAUUGCUUCCUGUCUCUACAGCCAGCCUGAAGCAGUUAUGGAGGAGAGUGCAUCAUCCUGUGUUUCCUGUUCCCAAGACAGCUUUUUAUGAUGAAGAGACAUGUCAGCUCCUGGCAGCAUCCUGUGUCUCCUCCAAGAAGAUGGAUGGCCGCAGAAGAACUUCCACCUGGAAGCUCAUGGCAAGGCCAGCCAUGCAGUGAAAAGCUGAGAUCCUGUCCAGAUUGUGAAUAAGAGGAGCAACAGGAGUCAAUUGUCCUCUCUGCCAAGACAGCUGUCUUACAGAUACCUACAGAUUCCUGGGGAAAGUUCUGCUACUGUAUCAAGACAUCUGGUCUGACGAAAACUAACAGUCUCCAGAGCCCAUUUUGACCUCACCCAUUUUCUUUUUCUUUUUUUUUUUUU